Molecule: long non-coding RNA, 8623 nt
Organism: Alligator mississippiensis (American alligator)
Lineage: Eukaryota; Metazoa; Chordata; Crocodylia; Alligatoridae
Exons: 2
Source: RefSeq, a predicted model, not a curated record
AACCAGCUGGGCCAAGGGGCUGUGGAUUGGAAGUGAGGGGCAUCUUUCUAAACCUCUUAUUUCAGUUCCUUUUGAGUUGUAUUUAUAAUGGAAGAUUGCUGUGGUUAUUGUGGAAAGGUUAAAUGUAUUUUUAAAAAGUAAUUUAAAUAUGGGAACAGACUUGAUGAUUGUUGUUGUUGUCACCAUCUAGAGUGAACCUUUGUUUAUGCCCAGUAUAAAAUAAAGUUCUUUUAAUUUGUUGCUUUCUUCUGGGGAUGUGGGGCGAGUAGAAAUGGCAGUUAAUAAAUAAUAUGACUUUCCAUUUUAUUAUCUUUUCUUGAUGAACAAAAGCCCAUUGGGAUUGAAUAGCAAGUCAAUUUCAUUUCAGUAAUACUCACAUUGUUAACACAUUGUCUCAGACCAAUUUUGGGAUGACACGAUAGGUUGCUGAUAUGUUUGGGCGCAAACAUUUUCUUGUCAUUUAAGUCACGUAAUUAUUCAGCUUGUGUGUUUCGGUAUAUCAAGCUUUUUGUUGCAAUUUGCAUUGUUCAUGUUCUUCUGUUAAGUACUUUUACCCCGCCUGGAGUCUUGUGUGGUGCAGAAGCACCUCAAAUCACAUACAGAACUCAUGAAUGAAGUUCAUGGAUCACUCCGUUUCUUCUGCACUUCGGAGUUCAGCGCUCCAGAACAAAACAUAUUGAUUUAUUACCGUUAUACUUGAUCUUACACCUGAAAUGCGUCAAAAGUCUUUAAUCAAAGAAGAAACUUUCCACGUGUCCAUCAUCUUAGGACCCCCGUCUCGGGCAAAAAUAAAAGUUGGUGCCUAUGUCAGAGGCCAUGAUUGCUCUGCUUUAACUCUGCAGUUGAAUGAUGAUGUCAGCUGUAGUGGUAAAGUGUAGUUUAGCUUUAGUGGAUUUUGCUGCUGUUUACACUUAAUUUGCCCUGGAAGAUGAAACCUGAUGACUCAGUUUCACUGUUUAGUCCUCCUGAGUCACCACAACACUGCUUUUCCAAGUGUUUGCAUGGGGACAGGAUGAAUUGUUUUAUGGGUAAAAAGACAAAUAACUAAAAAACGAACUUCUUUGUGCUGGGCUUCUAUAACCUUGGAAAAUCAGACAAAAAAGAUCUCUCAAACUUUUGGCUGAUUUUUUUUUACAAUACCCCUUUAAAUGAAUACUUUAUAAGGUGAGCAAAGCUUAUUCUCCUCAGUGAUACUCCAAACCCUUUCAGCAUUUUUCUUUCUUUGUAUAAUUUCAGUUUUGCUUUGGCACCCAAAAUCUGUUUAUACCUUAACUGUCAGAUAAAAAGCAGAAAGAAAGAAAGAAAGAUUGAAAAAUCAAGCAACAAAAUCCACUAUGAAAAGUGGUGAGACACUCUCAGAAAGAAUAUUUAACCUAAUUUAUUCCAUUCAUUAAACCUUAUUUUACUGGAAUGAAAGUUGUUUGUUAGGAACUUAUGUGUGGGCUCCAAAUAAGAAACAGUGAGAAAGAAAUGAAAUACUUAAAGGUACAAGAAACAUACUGUGUUUCUGAGAAGGCUAGGGUUUCUCUUUUUUUUUUUUUGCUUUUAGUUAAGAAGGACUUGCAUGAUAAAUGGUGUGCUUUUAGAAAUCCUACAAUAGACUGGACACACAAAUGAAGGUUUAGUAAUGGUGAGAGAUUACCAGGAGAUAAUGGAGCAAGUCAAAUUAGAAAACAUGAUGAAACAGCACAAAAUUUACAUAUUGUUUGGGUUAUCUCCUUUGCAUUCAUAAGACCAUGGCCAUCUUGAUGUUUGUAGCAUAAUUAUACAGCAUAAAAGUGUGCUCCUGGUUUCCAGCUGCUAAUGACUUACGCAGCACUAUCCAACCCAGUGGUCACCAUAGUGAGCUGUAUCUAUGUCUAAUGUAAUGCCAUAAAAAAGCAUGUCAUUUCAAAUUUUGAAAUGUUAUCUGUGGUAUAUUGUCAUGUAAGCCUACUGGGAUUCUCAUGAAAAGCCUAAAUGUGUGAUAGGAACCAAAAUGAUAUAUAUAUAGGCUGGCUUCGAUGAAAAUAAAUUGGUGCCAGUUCAGCUCCUCUGGAACACAGGUGGUGCAUAUUAUGCAGUGAAAUCAGGCCAACUCAUUUUGAUCAGGCCGGGGUGAGCUGAAGCCAAGCUUCUGACAGGCAGCUAGCCUUUCAGAAUGGAAAUCUGAAUGAGAAACCUACAGCAGACUGGGUUUAAAGCCAUGGAUUUAAAUGAAGUGUGUAUGCCGGUUGCAUAAUGUAACAAUUUUAAUUUUGUGUAAAGAUGUUCCAUUUCAGCUGUGAACCGUAAAGGCCCCCUGGUGGCAAUGCCAGCUAACGGAAAAUACCAAGCGUGCUUUAGACUCAUCUAGUAAGGCAUCACUGUCACCCACAUGUGAGUUCCUGACUUCAUUAAAUAUUUAAACAUGUUUUAACUUCCAACAUGCUAUCAGCCCUACUUGAUCUUGUUUUCAAAGAGGACACGAUAAAGGACAGUCACUUUAUCUAAUCAAGUUGAAGCCAAGAAGGACACUGUAGCUCUGAACAAUACACUGGCUUUUCAAAAUAUGCCUAUAUAUAUUUCAAACUUGGGCUCAGCCCAGAACCUUUUAGAAGCAAGAAACUUCCUCUGGUAGCUUCCUUGAUUGCUGUACUUCCAUAAUUCAUAAGCACUGAUGUUCAUAAGGUACCUUUGCAUUUGAGUUUUUCAGUUAUUUUUGGUAGGCGCUCAGAUGCUUUUAUAAUGCCUUGAACAGGCCUUUUCCAAUGAGCCCAUUUUACUGCUUGCAUUAGCCCAGAGUUGCGGAGAGGCAAUUGCUGUAACUUUUAAGAUCUGCGGCAAUGGAUAAUGUGUGCCUAAAGUGGCAGAAGGUAAGAAGAUUCGUUUUGUAAGAAACCAUUAAUGUAAGAUUAACAGUGAAUUAAACAAUAAAAUGUAUUAAUUAUUCAUCUGGUGCAAAGCUCCUAUGAUAGCAACAUAUGGGACUGAAUGGACUGUAUAGUACAAUGGUAUACAGGAGGAGUGCUUCGCCGUGAUAGGAACAGCAGAGGAUGCAACUAAUUACUGGCAACCAGAAUUUGUAUUGCAUAAUAAAUGACCUCUCUCUGCUCCUCCUGCCACCUGAAGCUGUAAUCCUAAAAGCUCCAUGUUGCCACUGUACCAUUGCCACUGCUCACAACUUCUGCCGACACAGAUGUGUCCAUCUGGGAUCACCACUGAAUGACAGAGCUAUGCUGGCAGAAGUCCAUAGUGUAGACAGAGCCUCGGGAACAGAGAUAUGCAAAACUAAAUUCAAAGUUUUCCCUCAAAGGGAAAAAUAUCGAGUUUAAUAAAACUGUCUGAUAGAAAAUGCUUUUUUGCCCUUGCAAUGAAACCAUGGGACCAGUAAUUUCAAUAUAAGAAAUGCUAUAUAAUGCUAAGGACUCUGAAAAAUCAGGUCUUGGGCAUCUCAAAUUGAUUAUCCAAAAUGAUUGAAUACUUUUGACCCUUAUUUUUCUGCACAUCAGUUCUCUGCCUGUAAAAUGGGUUGUUGUGCCCUCAUCUCACAGGUUAUUGUGAAAAUAAAUUGAUAUUAGUAAAGCAGUCAGGUACUGCCACGAAUACCACAGCAAAGCCUAUGAGGAAAUAAAUCAUUCUGUCUUCAUAGCAGGGUGUUGAUACUGUAGAAUAAAAAAAGACUCAGGGCCACUCAGCGAGCAACGAAGAGAAAGAAUAAUGAGUGUACACAUUAAAUUAGCACAGCCAUUUUGUACAUUGAAUGAAGUGGAUUGGUGGAAAAAAUAAGGGUGAUAUAAUCAAAAACCGUAUCAUAGGCACUCACUCCCAGACAACAGAUUCACUCUACCAUUUCCUAAGUUUUGAGUGCUCGGCUUUGCAACCUUAAUGUAUUUUAAAUGUAUAAUUUUGUAUGUUUAAUUCUUUCUCUCACACGUUUACUCUCUCACACAUAAUAUGAAGGAUUUCACCUGAAUUUGUCAGUUUGGGUAUUGACGCCAAAUUAACUAGUGGCCUGUAUGAAACAACUUUAAGUAUUAUACAUGCCAUACGAUGUUCAUAUCAUCAGCACUGUAGUAACUGGGAUCCCUUGGAAGAUAUUUUACUGGUAGUUAGCAUGGAGGGUGAAGACUGAAUGGACAUGAAGACUGAAUUACUGACACUCUUUUAGCAAGUUGUGAAUGGACUUGAAGACUAAAUGAUACUUUGACCUUAAAGGAAUUCUGCCUGGAAAAUGAAAGCACACUCUUGGGAUGUAGUGUAGGGAGAGAUGUGGGCAUUGCUAUUCAUUUAUUAUUUAUUUAUGGUGAAUAAACCAACAAAUACAUUUUAUGGUCAUUGUAGCAUCUUCAUGAACACUCCAGAGAAAGCUACCAAUGAUUAUAAUAAUCCCUUUCCUUGUUUAAGAUGACGUGUUACUAUGUGCCCAAAGAUGGGGAGAAAAAGUAGCUGUAAUGAAAGCACAGCAUAGCAAGGAUCAAUUUACUUGCCCCUUGGUUGUGCGCACCCAAACGUCCAUUCCUAGCUACAUUCUUGGUUCAUGUUCAGACCGGAGCACAAAGGGAGCAGAUCAAGACAAAGGAUCUGCUUCACUGCAUGUCCAGGUACGCGCAUGAGGAUGCAGACUUAAUGAGGAUCCUUCUGUCUGAACAGCUCAUGUCUUCCUGCCCCUCAGACAGGGGGCUGGACUCGAUGAUCUUCUGAGGUCCCUUCCAGUCCUAAUGUCUAUGAAGUCUAAUCCUGACUGUUUGAUUUUUGAGUUCUCAGUAUGAGGGUUGAAAAAUUUCCAGAAAUGUUCUUGAAGGGUAUAAACAGAUGUUGUCUUUGGAUGAGAAUCAUCUAUUCUGUAUCAUGUAUCCUGGUGCAGAUGAUCUGCUUCAUUGGUGUCUACUGACAUUGCCUUGUAGGGUCAGGUGCCUGAAACUCCCAGGGCUUUAGGAGCCUAAUCUGGUGACCCUCGGCUGUGCCUCAACCUGUGGUACAUGUCUGCAAAGGCAUAAGGACAUGUUUGUUUGCAGUCAGAGCAUGGGGAAGCCAGGAAGAGGGAAUAUAAACUCCUUAAAUAUUUAUCAUGUGAAAAACUUUUGCCAGCUGAGUUAUUCCACUUAAGUCAAUAGUACUGCUCACAUGGACUCCAAGGACAAAUUAUGGAUUUCAUGUUGAAUAGUCCUUCAAGCAAAGACUUUCUCCUUCCAGGUGAGUACACUAACCUAACAGCUGAACAGAGCAUUUCAAAGACUGCAGUGGAAGUACUUAUGCAAAGAACUAGGCAUGUACAUAACCAUUUACAAAAUGAGGGGCACAGAUGUGUUUUUUAUCUGCAGCUACUUGGCUUGACACCUGCGUAACCAGACUGCUGUCGACAAUAGUUUCUGAGUGCAGCAAUUUCAAAUUCUCAACCAUUCAGUUUAACUGUCUCUGUAUUUACACUGAUUCAGAGCCAAACUACCAAAUUCCUGCUCAUUCCAAAUUCCUGCUUUUUAGUAUGAUCAGAAAUAGCGUAAUAGCACACUAUAUGAAGCCUUUUGCACAUUUAUAAUUUGAGUUUUAAAAGUGUUUAAAUCCAGUUUCUUCCAAGUUGGCUUGUUUCCCCGCUCUGCAUGAAUUAUACAAAUCUAAGUUUAUUGUUGCUACUUACAGCCGUUAUCAAGACACAAUACAGUUGAUGAGAACCUGGAAGCAGGGUAAGUCAGGGCCAAUUAUGCUCAAACUUUCUGAACAUACACAACUGUGACCUGAGCCUGAGUUGCAGUAAGAAAAACUUCAUUCCAAAAGGAAUUUAUUUAGAAAGAUAAUAGCGCAAAAAAGCAACUAGGAUGUUACAGUGGAAUUCAGAAGUCAGUUUUAAGAAUGGUAGGCACUGCUGCAUGAAGUGCAUAUGAUAGACUAAUCCCAUUAUGAAAUCCUUGCGUGAAAGCAGGCCACUUAGCCUGUGCCUCAGUUUUCUCACCAUUCAUAUAGGGUUGGAACCGAUUUACUUAAUAGAUUUUAUAUGUGGCUAAAUUUUAACAAGGACUAGAUUACUGCUAAUGGUUAUUACUACUAGAUUCUGUGUUAAAACAAUAAUGUGAUAAAAUAACUGUAAAAUAGACCUAUUCCUUUGUAUUAGUGAAUGUACAAUAUUAGAAGUGAGGAAAUAAAUCAUAUGAUUAAUUCUGAUGUGAAAUAAGGGUUUACAAUAGGGACUGGAACUCAUUCUUAGCCAUUACUAAGACAUGUUCACAAAUCACUCAGAUUAUUCCAAUAUUGCUAACAGAAAAUAGAAUUAUAAAUCUUAAGCACAUUUAAAUUUACUUCUUGGACUGAUACUGCUGGGAAAAUAAUAUAUUUGAAGUGUGUACGUGUGUGUGUGUAUAGAAACUCAAUUCUGGAAUAACUGAUUGAUUGUGAAUUAAGUAUGACUCAUUCUGAUAUCAGUAUAUUAAAUACAACAAUUGAGGAUCAAAUGAAUGAUCAACAAUGUGCCCUCAGUUGUCAACUAUGGCUGAAGGGUUGUGAGCUCAGCUCAAGAUGGGACACAAAAUUGCUCUUCCCUUUCUCCAUUUGGGGUAGUCCUGGUGGUACAUCAGUCCUGGUUAUGGCAGCCAUGAAUCACUAGGGUACAAGUACUCAUAGAAGGCAGAGUAGAUUUGCAACUUAUAGACUAAUCAGUGUGUGUGUGUGGGUGUGUGAGUGAAUGUGUGGUUGUUUCUAUAGCAAGCUUUUGCGGGCUGAAAUUCACUUCAUUAGAUUCUAUGAAAGGAUGGGCAUAAAGCUGUGUAUAAGGAGAGAGAAAUUUGAAUACAUAAGCAGAGAAGGGAAGGUCAGAGAGGAGAGGUGGGAGAGGGAAGGGGACCAUGCUGGGAGAGGCAAACAUAUAAGCAAAACACUUGAAGGUACAAAGGAGUCACAAAAACUAAUCCAGGUAAUGGGCUAAGAAUCCAUAGUCCCUGUUUAAACCAUACUUAACACAAUCGGCUUGUGGAUAAUUUCUUGUUCUGCAAUGUCCUGUUCAGAAUGGUUUUUAAAGGUUUGCUGCCUGAAAACUGCAAAGCUCAGGUCAGCAAUAUAAGGUCUAGGAUGUUAAAGUAUUCUGCCCAGGCCUGUGUAUCUUUCUGCACGUCAGAUUGGCCUUCCUUCAUUUUGUCAUGUAGGCAUUGCCCAGUUGCUCCAAUGUAGACAGCAGAGGGGUACUGCGAGCGAGUGAUGGCAUAUAUGACGUUGGUAGAAUUGCAAGUGAAUGAAACUCAGCCUCUCUCACUCUCCUUCAGCCACACUCUGCAAUGGCCACCAUAUUCCUGUAAUGCUUCUGUGUCAUCCAAGGAGCCCUCUAUGCAUCAAAAAUGUUUCAACCUACAGCUAAAGCAACAUUAGAGCCAUUUUGAGCUAAGGGAGAGGCAUAACAUGAUCUCAGUACAAUAAUUGGCACUGUUCUGUAAUAGUCUGACAAAAGAUGAAUAAAAAUUGGAUAGGAAACUAAUGCUGAAAGGAAAUGGAAAGAUAGCGUAGAUAUAGUAAUAUUGUGUGUAUAGGCAUGAGCAGGGGCUGUAGUUUUGUUUGUAUAAAAUUAACAAUAUCAUUCAUAUAAAAUGUAUAGACUCUUUAGACUUCUGACACAUUAAUUUGCCACUGAUAACAAAUCUAUGUGAGAGAGAAGCACUGCUGAGUUUACAUAAUGUGGUAUCCAAGCAGCUGCUGAACUUGUAACAUGUAUUCAGAUUUUUCUUUCCGUAAAUUUAGGAAGGGACUUUAUUCUAGCAAGUAGCUCUUGAGACAGCAGAGUUCCCAGGUCUCUAUCAUCCUUGUUUGGCUGUAUUUGGUUUCCUGAAUACUUAUCUCCUACUCUGUCUACCAGGUAGAAAGCUGACAUUAUGAUCAAGGAAGAAUGAAUGAACAAAAAUGCACAUUAAAAGGAAUACCAAAUGGAAAGCACUCCCCCGAGUGGAUACAUGUAUAAAUUGUAAGAAAAUAAUCUCUAAAUGCAGCCCCUGGGACUUGAAUUAUUUACACUCUUUUAAUCCUCUUAACUUCAAAUCAAGAUCAUUCACAUUGCUUUACAGUCAGGCUUUCAAUUGUAUUUUAUGCUCUCAAAUAAUUUCCUUGUCAAUCACUGUAUUGAACAACUUAGUAAUCUGCUCAUGUUUUCAACAUAUAAUCAUCUGUCUGUUUAUCCUAUAGCCUAACACCUUUCCUCUUCAUCUCUGCUUACUCUUAUCAAAGUCAUAUUUUCAAGUUCUCCAUGCAGACUUCUUACAGUGGAAAAAUGCAUGAACAAAAUUGUCAAAAGUAAAUAGGAAACCAAAUGCAAUUGCUUCUGUUAUAACCACUCCUGAUAUGAAAUAACUUUUAAGGUUAUGCCACAUUCUGAAAAGAAGCAAGGAAUUCAAAGCUAGAUUUGAUAGUCUACCUUUUAGAAAAGAAACAUGUCACAGUUAUAAAUACGUAUGUGUGUAUACGUACCUGAUACAUCUGGAAUAGCCCCAGAACUGUUCUUGUUCAUGGGUUAUUAUGUACUGAGGUGGUAUAUUUCUUUCACUGUUUGGGGAGCUGAAUGUGUAGUUGCUCAGGUAGCACCAUGAGAAUGUUCUCUUGUGGCAGUGUUUACUGAAUAUUAUUUAUAAAAAAAAGACUAGUCUUUGAUUAAGUAUAUGUUGUAACAUUAAAAAAAACAUUAAUCUUACAAUUA